AAGAUUCUUCGGAUGAUUUCCUUUGUGACUGAGCGGCGGACGGGUGAGUAACGCGUGGGUAACCUGCCUCAUACAGGGGGAUAACAGUUAGAAAUGACUGCUAAUACCGCAUAAGACCACGGUACCGCAUGGUACAGUGGUAAAAACUCCGGUGGUAUGAGAUGGACCCGCGUCUGAUUAGGUAGUUGGUGGGGUAACGGCCUACCAAGUCGACGAUCAGUAGCCGACCUGAGGGGGUGACCGGCCACAUUGGGACUGAGACACGGCCCAGACUCCUACGGGAGGCAGCAGUGGGGAAUAUUGCACAAUGGAGGAAACUCUGAUGCAGCGACGCCGCGUGAAGGAUGAAGUAUUUCGGUAUGUAAACUUCUAUCAGCAGGGAAGAAAAUGACGGUACCUGACUAAGAAGCCCCGGCUAACUACGUGCCAGCAGCCGCGGUAAUACGUAGGGGGCAAGCGUUAUCCGGAUUUACUGGGUGUAAAGGGAGCGUAGACGGCACGGCA
This 504-nucleotide ribosomal RNA is filed under the name uncultured bacterium. RNAcentral's name for it is "bacterial SSU rRNA". It matches the Rfam family "Bacterial small subunit ribosomal RNA", at positions 71 to 585 of the family's 1533-position model. The record is from RNAcentral.